This 460-nucleotide ribosomal RNA is filed under the name uncultured bacterium. RNAcentral's name for it is "partial 16S ribosomal RNA". It matches the Rfam family "Bacterial small subunit ribosomal RNA", at positions 338 to 795 of the family's 1533-position model. The record is from RNAcentral.
CCUACGGGAGGCAGCAGUGAGGAAUAUUGGUCAAUGGGCGCGAGCCUGAACCAGCCAAGUAGCGUGAAGGAUGACUGCCCUACGGGUUGUAAACUUCUUUUAUAAAGGAAUAAAGUGAGGCACGUGUGCCUUUUUGUAUGUACUUUAUGAAUAAGGAUCGGCUAACUCCGUGCCAGCAGCCGCGGUAAUACGGAGGAUCCGAGCGUUAUCCGGAUUUAUUGGGUUUAAAGGGAGCGUAGAUGGGUUGUUAAGUCAGUUGUGAAAGUUUGCGGCUCAACCGUAAAAUUGCAAUUGAUACUCGGAGUCAUGAGUACAGAUGAGGAAGGUGGAAUUCGAGGUGUAGCGGUGAAAUGCUUAGAUAUAAGGAAGAACUCCGAUGGCGAAGGCAGCUCUCUAAACUGUAACUGACACUGAGGCUCGAAAGCGUGGGGAGCAAACAGGAUUAGAUACCCGAGUAGUC